Molecule: ribosomal RNA, 460 nt
Filed under: uncultured bacterium
Lineage: Bacteria
Description: partial 16S ribosomal RNA
Rfam family: Bacterial small subunit ribosomal RNA
Source: RNAcentral
CCUACGGGAGGCAGCAGUGAGGAAUAUUGGUCAAUGGGCGCAAGCCUGAACCAGCCAAGUCGCGUGAGGGAUGACGGUCCUAUGGAUUGUAAACCUCUUUUGUCGGGGAGCAAGGCCCGCCACGUGUGGCGGGAAGGAGAGUACCCGAAGAAAAAGCAUCGGCUAACUCCGGGCCAGCAGCCGCGGUAAUACGGAGGAUGCGAGCGUUAUCCGGAUUUAUUGGGUUUAAAGGGUGCGUAGGCGGAAGGUUAAGUCAGCGGUCAAAUGUCGGUGCUCAACACCGGCCUGCCGUUGAAACUGGUCGUCUUGAGUGAGCGAGAAGUGUGCGGAAUGCGUGGUGUAGCGGUGAAAUGCAUAGAUAUCACGCAGAACUCCGAUUGCGAAGGCAGCAUACCGGCGCUCAACUGACGCUGAGGCACGAAAGCGUGGGGAUCGAACAGGAUUAGAUACCCUGGUAGUC